GACGAACGCUGGCGGCGUGCUUAACACAUGCAAGUCGAACGGAAAGGCCCUGCUUUUGUGGGGUGCUCGAGUGGCGAACGGGUGAGUAACACGUGAGUAACCUGCCCUUGACUUUGGGAUAACUUCAGGAAACUGGGGCUAAUACCGGAUAGGAGCUCCUGCUGCAUGGUGGGGGUUGGAAAGUUUCGGCGGUUGGGGAUGGACGCGCGGCUUAUCAGCUUGUUGGUGGGGUAGUGGCUUACCAAGGCUUUGACGGGUAGCCGGCCUGAGAGGGUGACAGGCCACAUUGGGACUGAGAUACGGCCCAGACUCCUACGGGAGGCAGCAGUGGGGAAUAUUGCACAAUGGGCGGAAGCCUGAUGCAGCAACGCCGCGUGCGGGAUGACGGCCUUCGGGUUGUAAACCGCUUUCGCCUGUGACGAAGCGUGAGUGACGGUAAUGGGUAAAGAAGCACCGGCUAACUACGUG
This 468-nucleotide ribosomal RNA is filed under the name uncultured bacterium. RNAcentral's name for it is "partial 16S ribosomal RNA". It matches the Rfam family "Bacterial small subunit ribosomal RNA", at positions 28 to 507 of the family's 1533-position model. The record is from RNAcentral.